RNAcentral lists this non-coding RNA (28 nucleotides) under Mus musculus (house mouse). The record is from RNAcentral. Lineage: Eukaryota; Metazoa; Chordata; Mammalia; Rodentia; Muridae.
UGGCUGUCUUUAGGAUGCAAUGAUGCAA